UUAAUAUGCAUAAGGGUUUUUUUAUGCAUGGUGCAUACGGACUUCACAACCAUCAGAUUUAGUUUUACACGUGUUAUAAUCCUAGCCCCUCUCAGCUCACACUCUCACAAUCAGACACGGCUUCAAUCAAUCAAAACGAAGACGGCGAUGACAUUUUCACCGACGCACUUCUCCAAUGUUUCACCGACGACCCGCCGGAAACUUCUACCUCCGAUUCCACGUUUCCAGUGAAUCGAUCCAUUGUUUUCUUCAAUUCCGAUUGAAAUGGCCGAUCAGUUAGCGAGGGCAGAGGAUUUCGAGAAGAAAGCUGAGAAGAAGCUCAGCGGUUGGGGCUUAUUCGGUUCAAAAUUCAAAGAUGCUGCUGAUCUCUUCGAUAAAGCUGCAAAUUCAUUCCAACUCACUAAAUCAUGUACAACAUGUUUAUCAAUGGAUACCACCAUGACAAGGAUGGCUGAAAUGCAACGUCGACGCCGGCUUUCAUAAGGAUGGCAGAAUCACAAGAGGAGGAUGGUGCAUCUGAGAUGACGGCGGACUAUUUAGGCGUGCAGGAACAUAUUGGAUAAGUCAUGAGAAUAAGCAAGAAAUCAUUACUAUUUCAUUUACUCUCUUUCAGAUAAUAAGGACAGCAACAAGUGGAGGCAUGGCAUAAUGGAGCUUUGAGUUGGAUUGUACCAUUUUCUCUUUCUUAGCAAGUGUAGUUGGAUAGUAUCCUUAUUUCAAAUAUUAAGAGAUUAUUGCUUUUAAAUUUCAACUUUGAGGUAAAGUUUGUAAAGCGUCAAGGGAAUUUGGUUGCUCAUAUGUUAGCUAGUGCGGCCAAUUCAUAGGCUAGUCGUUGUGUUUUCUAUUCGAUUCCUCCUUGUAUUGAGAACCAA
This is a long non-coding RNA of Trifolium pratense (red clover), 872 nucleotides long. RefSeq lists it as uncharacterized. The record is from RefSeq and is a predicted model, not a curated record. The transcript has 4 exons. NCBI's taxonomy places the organism in Eukaryota, Viridiplantae, Streptophyta, Magnoliopsida, Fabales, Fabaceae.